UACGUAGGGUGCGAGCGUUAAUCGGAAUUACUGGGCGCAAAGCGUGCGCAGGCGGUUUUGUAAGCCAGAUGUGAAAUCCCCGGGCUUAACCUGGGAAUGGCAUUUGGGACUGCAAGGCUGGAGUGCGGCAGAGGAGACUGGAAUUCCUGGUGUAGCAGUGAAAUGCGUAGAUAUCAGGAGGAACACCGAUGGCGAAGGCAGGUCUCUGGGCUGACACUGACGCUCAUGCACGAAAGCGUGGGGAGCAAACAGG
RNAcentral lists this ribosomal RNA (253 nucleotides) under uncultured bacterium. Its description in RNAcentral is "partial 16S ribosomal RNA". It matches the Rfam family "Bacterial small subunit ribosomal RNA", at positions 524 to 776 of the family's 1533-position model. The record is from RNAcentral.